RNAcentral lists this ribosomal RNA (233 nucleotides) under uncultured bacterium. RNAcentral describes it as "partial 16S ribosomal RNA". It matches the Rfam family "Bacterial small subunit ribosomal RNA", at positions 103 to 334 of the family's 1533-position model. The record is from RNAcentral.
CGGGUGAGUAACGCGUGAGGAACCUGCCUCAAAGAGGGGGACAACAGUUGGAAACGACUGCUAAUACCGCAUAAGCCCACGGCUCGGCAUCGAGCAGAGGGAGAAGGAGCAAUCCGCUUUGAGAUGGCCUCGCGUCCGAUUAGCUAGUUGGUGAGGUAACGGCCCACCAAGGCGACGAUCGGUAGCCGGACUGAGAGGUUGAACGGCCACAUUGGGACUGAGACACGGCCCAG